Molecule: ribosomal RNA, 265 nt
Filed under: uncultured bacterium
Lineage: Bacteria
Description: partial 16S ribosomal RNA
Rfam family: Bacterial small subunit ribosomal RNA
Source: RNAcentral
UGAGACACGAUCCAAACUUAUACGGGAGGCAGCAGUGAGGAAUAUUGGACAAUGGGCGCAAUCCUGAUCCACCCAUGCCGCGUGCAGGAAGACUGCCCUAUGGGUUGUAAACUGCUUUUAUAUAGGAAGAAACCAUUCUACGUGUAGAGUGCUGACGGUACUAUAAGAAUAAGCAUCGGCUAACUCCGUGCCAGCAGCCGCGGUAAUACGGAGGAUGCAAGCUUUAUCCGGAAUCAUUGGUUUUAAAGGGUCCGUAGGUGGAUAA